Molecule: ribosomal RNA, 253 nt
Filed under: uncultured bacterium
Lineage: Bacteria
Description: partial 16S ribosomal RNA
Rfam family: Bacterial small subunit ribosomal RNA
Source: RNAcentral
UACGUAGGGUGCAAGCGUUAUCCGGAAUCAUUGGGCGUAAAGCGUACGUAGGCGGCUUAUCAAGUCUGGGGUCAAAGACCACAGCUUAACUGUGGAAAGGCCUUGGAAACUAGUGAGCUGGAGUGAGGUAGGGGUUGCGGGAAUUCCCGGUGUAGCGGUGAAAUGCGUAGAUAUCGGGAAGAACACCUGAGGCGAAAGCGCGCGACUGGGCCUUAACUGACGCUGAGGUACGAAAGCUAGGGGAGCGAAUGGG